This 468-nucleotide ribosomal RNA is filed under the name uncultured bacterium. RNAcentral describes it as "partial 16S ribosomal RNA". It matches the Rfam family "Bacterial small subunit ribosomal RNA", at positions 28 to 507 of the family's 1533-position model. The record is from RNAcentral.
GACGAACGCUGGCGGCGUGCUUAACACAUGCAAGUCGAACGGAAAGGCCCUGCUUUUGUGGGGUGCUCGAGUGGCGAACGGGUGAGCAACACGUGAGUAACCUGCCCUUGACUUUGGGAUAACUUCAGGAAACUGGGGCUAAUACCGGAUAGGAGCUCCUGCUGCAUGGUGGGGGUUGGAAAGUUUCGGCGGUUGGGGAUGGACUCGCGGCUUAUCAGCUUGUUGGUGGGGUAGUGGCUUACCAAGGCUUUGACGGGUAGCCGGCCUGAGAGGGCGACCGGCCACAUUGGGACUGAGAUACGGCCCAGACUCCUACGGGAGGCAGCAGUGGGGAAUAUUGCACAAUGGGCGGAAGCCUGAUGCAGCAACGCCGCGUGCGGGAUGACGGCCUUCGGGUUGUAAACCGCUUUCGCCUGUGACGAAGCGUGAGUGACGGUAAUGGGUAAAGAAGCACCGGCUAACUACGUG